This 254-nucleotide long non-coding RNA is filed under the name Solanum tuberosum (potato). RNAcentral's name for it is "long non-coding RNA (STUB_LNC008956)". The record is from RNAcentral. Lineage: Eukaryota; Viridiplantae; Streptophyta; Magnoliopsida; Solanales; Solanaceae.
UGUAAUUUUUCUUUAAAUUUAAUUAUCUCAUUUGUUAAUUUUGUUUUUUGUUCUUUUUCUCUUUGUUUAAUUUCAUACAUUUCUUUUAAUAUUGCUAGCUCUUUUUCUAGUUCUAUUAUUUUAGUAUUUUUUACUUCUUCUAAUUGUUGUACUUCCUUUUUUGCUUGUUGUUUUAUUUUUUCAAUUUCCGUUUUUCUAUCUAUUUCUUCAUUUUCUUUUGUUAUUCUUAUCAUAGCAGUUAAACUAUCUUCUAG